This 320-nucleotide ribosomal RNA is filed under the name Leuconostoc fallax. Its description in RNAcentral is "bacterial SSU rRNA". It matches the Rfam family "Bacterial small subunit ribosomal RNA", at positions 34 to 326 of the family's 1533-position model. Lineage: Bacteria; Bacillati; Bacillota; Bacilli; Lactobacillales; Lactobacillaceae. The record is from RNAcentral.
CGCUGGCGGCGUGCCUAAUACAUGCAAGUCGAACGCUAGUCGCGGACCUGAUCACUUCGGUGAGACGUAAAGCAUAUGGCUAGAGUGGCGAACGGGUGAGUAACACGUGGACAACCUGCCUCUAAGCAGGGGAUAACAUUUGGAAACAGAUGCUAAUACCGUAUAACAACACAUUUCGCAUGAAGUGUGUUUAAAAGGGGCUUCGGCCUCACUUAGAGAUGGAUCCGCGGUGCAUUAGUUAGUUGGUGAGGUAAAGGCUUACCAAGACGAUGAUGCAUAGCCGAGUUGAGAGACUGAUCGGCCACAUUGGGACUGAGACA